This 213-nucleotide long non-coding RNA is filed under the name Lathyrus oleraceus (garden pea). RNAcentral describes it as "Pisum sativum (pea) long non-coding RNA (PSAT_LNC007598)". Lineage: Eukaryota; Viridiplantae; Streptophyta; Magnoliopsida; Fabales; Fabaceae. The record is from RNAcentral.
CUUUCUCUUUUUUCUUCUUCUUUUUUUCUUCUUCAUAAGGUGUAUGUAUUGACAUGUAUACAUCCUUCUAUUUUUUUUCUUUCAUUUUUUUUCUUUUCUAUUUUGCUUUUCUUUUCCUACCAACUUUUGAAAUAUUACAAGCAUAAUUAUUCAACCUCACACAACCCCAAACAAGACUCUUUCAACCUUUUGAAUAGGGUGAUAACAUUAUUU